Molecule: long non-coding RNA, 1342 nt
Organism: Priapulus caudatus
Lineage: Eukaryota; Metazoa; Priapulida; Priapulimorpha; Priapulimorphida; Priapulidae
Exons: 3
Source: RefSeq, a predicted model, not a curated record
UGUCAGAGCAUAGGCCAGAGCCUUCUGUGCAUAUUUGUUGACGUUUUCAGUCAUACUAUUAUAUUAUUUUCUCUUAGUCAUUGACCAUGCAUGGUAAAUAAUGUGCCAUAGUUGGUUGUGGUGCAUGUUCAGGACGCAACAAAGGUUUAAGUUUUCGUCUAUUAAGAAAAAAUCUUGAGUGGAGACGUGCCCUGGCAGAAGCAGGAUUCAUUUAAUCCUGAUACAGCAACAAUUUGUUCGAGGCAUUUUGAAGAAAGCUGCUUUAGGUCAGGUCCCACAGGGUGAAGGAUUUUAAACGUAAGAAGCAAAUAGUAUGGAAUAAUCGCUACAUCAAACUUUUGAGACAGCGAAGCCAGUUGCUCGGAAGGCACCUGUACAUAGGAUAGACACUGAGAUCACCCCCACCUACUCUGGAGCGAGUGGCUUCCUUGGCUAAAGUAAGGAGGGCAGCCUGUGCGGGUAAGCUACCUUGGAUGAUAGUAGAAAAACCAAAUGUUGUCACUUUCAUCUUCAUGGACCUUGCCCAGGCUUCACUUCACAUCCAGCUGUGUGUCAGCAUAUACAGUGAUCUAUCCACCGAGGUGGAAGUGCUUGGUAUACCUGCUCCAUGCCUCCAGUCAUCGGUCGAAAAGAUUUCUCUAAAAAAGCUGGAAAGCCUCUAUCGGUGUCCUGGGAUAAGUGACCCUAACCUUCAAAAUUAUGCUUCCAACCAUCGGAAAUACGUAUUAUCGACAUUGAGCUUACCGUGAGUUUAUAAAGAGCUGGAAUAUAAGAAUGUAUGUGUAUAUGUAUAGAAAAUACUAUUAUGGCUAUGGUACUAGAUUAUCCCAACUUAUGGAAUGUAUGAAGAAUAUAUUAAAAUUUUUGUGUUUUAAUGCAUUCCCCGUCACAGUGUUUACAGUGUAUUACUUGCAACUACAGUAACCCCUCGUUAAGCCGCAGUAUUCGAUGUCGUAAUUUGCUCUAAGUCGGAAUAAGUGGCCCUAUGUCACGUGCCGAUGGAAACGGCUGUGAUUGGCUAUUGUGAAGUGAUGCGCGACACCGUCGCUGAUUUUAGAAGCGUUUCUGAAUAGUUUUGUCAUUACAGUUGUUGCCAGACAUUGUCGCGUGUGUGUGCAACAGCUCGCAGGAAACAAUAGUUUCUAAUUUUAUGAAAUGUCGUUUAACAUGACGGUCGUAAGUGUUAUUGUUUUGAAAUAAAGUUGUAUAGUCGGUCGUGAUGUACAGGCGUUAUUGGCCUAAUCCUUGCGUUGUCCUUGGAUCGUAGUAAUUGUAUAUGGUCCUGAAGAUGCACUCGUACCCGACUCUUCAGUGAUUGCAGACUCGGUGUCCAGUUUGUUCU